RNAcentral lists this ribosomal RNA (439 nucleotides) under uncultured bacterium. RNAcentral describes it as "bacterial SSU rRNA". It matches the Rfam family "Bacterial small subunit ribosomal RNA", at positions 30 to 514 of the family's 1533-position model. The record is from RNAcentral.
CGAACGCUGGCGGCAUGCCUAACACAUGCAAGUCGAACGAGACCUUCGGGUCUAGUGGCGCACGGGUGCGUAACACGUGGGAAUCUGCCCUUUGCUUCGGAAUAACAGUUAGAAAUGACUGCUAAUACCGGAUGAUGUCGAAAGACCAAAGAUUUAUCGGCAAAGGAUGAGCCCGCGUAGGAUUAGAUAGUUGGUGAGGUAAAGGCUCACCAAGCCGACGAUCCUUAGCUGGUCUGAGAGGAUGAUCAGCCACACUGGGACUGAGACACGGCCCAGACUCCUACGGGAGGCAGCAGUGGGGGAAUAUUGGACAAUGGGCGAAAGCCUGAUCCAGCAAUGCCGCGUGAGUGAUGAAGGCCUUAGGGUUGUAAAGCUCUUUUACCAGGGAUGAUAAUGACAGUACCUGGAGAAUAAGCUCCGGCUAACUCCGUGCCAGCAG